Molecule: ribosomal RNA, 433 nt
Filed under: uncultured bacterium
Lineage: Bacteria
Description: partial 16S ribosomal RNA
Rfam family: Bacterial small subunit ribosomal RNA
Source: RNAcentral
AACGAACGCUGGCGGCAUGCCUAACACAUGCAAGUCGAACGAGACCUUCGGGUCUAGUGGCGCACGGGUGCGUAACGCGUGGGAACCUGCCCUUAGGUUCGGAAUAACUCCCCGAAAGGGGUGCUAAUACCGGAUAAUGUCUUCGGACCAAAGAUUUAUCGCCUUUGGAUGGGCCCGCGUUGGAUUAGCUAGUUGGUAGGGUAAAAGCCUACCAAGGCGACGAUCCAUAGCUGGUCUGAGAGGAUGAUCAGCCACACUGGGACUGAGACACGGCCCAGACUCUUACGGGAGGCAGCAGUGCGGAAUAUUGGACAAUGGGCGAAAGCCUGAUCCAGCAAUGGCGGGUGAGUGAUGAAGGCCUUAGGGAUGUAAAGCUCUUUUACCCGGGAUGAUAAUGACAGUACCGGGAGAAUAAGCUCCGGCUAACUCCGUG